RNAcentral lists this long non-coding RNA (314 nucleotides) under Olea europaea subsp. europaea. Lineage: Eukaryota; Viridiplantae; Streptophyta; Magnoliopsida; Lamiales; Oleaceae. The record is from RNAcentral.
UAUAUGUUUUAAAAUAAUUUUUUUCUUUUAUGUAAAAUAAAAAAAAAAAUUACAAAUCAAUUUUGAAGAAUAGUCAAACUGGUCUAUGCAUAAACCGGUGGCGCAGGUCAAAGGUUAUUUAAACUCCUCAUUUGCUUCUCCAACUCUUGCUCUUUCUGUCCAACUUCUCCCUCCUCUUCUCUUCUUCUUCAUCUCUCUCUAUAACCCCAAGUAGUUAUUGAAGAAAUUGUUUUGUGGGCAGCUUUGAAAAUUGAAUUCUGUUGAACUCUGAAGAAUUAUUUUGAAUUAUCUCUGCUGCUUUUUGGGGUUUCGAC